This 438-nucleotide ribosomal RNA is filed under the name uncultured bacterium. RNAcentral describes it as "bacterial SSU rRNA". It matches the Rfam family "Bacterial small subunit ribosomal RNA", at positions 64 to 507 of the family's 1533-position model. The record is from RNAcentral.
GAACGCGAAAGUCCCGCAAGGGAUCAGUAGAGUGGCGAACGGGUGAGUAACGCGUGGGUGACCUGCCUUCGAGCGGGGGAUAACGUUCCGAAAGGGACGCUAAUACCGCAUGACAUCCCGUCCUUGAACGGACGGCGAUCAAAGCUGGGGAUCGCAAGACCUAGCACUCGAAGAGGGGCCCGCGUCCGAUUAGCUAGUUGGUGGGGUAAGAGCCUACCAAGGCGACGAUCGGUAGCUGGUCUGAGAGGACGAUCAGCCACACUGGGAUUGAGAACGGCCCAGACUCCUACGGGGGGCAGCAGUGAGGAAUUUUCGGCAAUGGGGGCAACCCUGACCGAGCAACGCCGCGUGCAGGAAGAAGGUCUUCGGAUCGUAAACUGCUUUUCUCGGGGAAGAGAGAGGACGGUACCCGAGGAAUCAGCCCCGGCUAACUACGUG